This 440-nucleotide ribosomal RNA is filed under the name uncultured bacterium. RNAcentral's name for it is "bacterial SSU rRNA". It matches the Rfam family "Bacterial small subunit ribosomal RNA", at positions 8 to 446 of the family's 1533-position model. The record is from RNAcentral.
AGAGUUUGAUCCUGGCUCAGGACGAACGCUGGCGGCGUGCUUAACACAUGCAAGUCGAACGGAAAGGCCCUGCUUUUGUGGGGUGCUCGAGUGGCGAACGGGUGAGUAACACGUGAGUAACCUGCCCUUGACUUUGGGAUAACUUCAGGAAACUGGGGCUAAUACCGGAUAGGAGCUCCUGCUGCAUGGUGGGGGUUGGAAAGUUUCGGCGGUUGGGGAUGGACUCGCGGCUUAUCAGCUUGUUGGUGGGGUAACGGCCCACCAAGGCGACGACGGGUAGCUGGUCUGAGAGGACGAUCAGCCACACUGGGACUGAGACACGGCCCAGACUCCUACGGGAGGCAGCAGUGGGGAAUAUCGCGCAAUGGGCGACAGCCUGACGCAGCAACGCCGCGUGAGGGAUGAAGGCCUUCGGGUUGUAAACCUCUUUCGCCUGUGAC